RNAcentral lists this long non-coding RNA (262 nucleotides) under Homo sapiens (human). RNAcentral describes it as "HSALNT0328139". The record is from RNAcentral. Lineage: Eukaryota; Metazoa; Chordata; Mammalia; Primates; Hominidae.
AUUAGCAUUUCUAGCAACAAUGUAUUUUUAAAUUAAGAUAUUUGAUGUGAUUCACCAGUACAGCCAUAUGAAGAUGAUAUUUUGAUUUUAGGAAUGUUUCAUUACAAAUGCAAUUCCUUCAACAGAGGCUUUUUCACUCCUCAGAAGAAAAAGUGGACACUAUAUGCCCCAAUGCAGCCGCAUUCCUGCUGGUCCCCAAAAGUAUAGUCACAAAAUUAAACAGGAUGGAGUCUCACCAUGUACCCAAGCUGGUCUUAAACUC